GGCCUAAUGGCCCAAUGGCAAGGCGCUUGACUACGAUUCACCAAUCUGACAUCAAGAGAUUCCAGGUUCGACCCCUGGUUAGGUCA
Molecule: transfer RNA, 86 nt
Organism: Pyrenochaeta sp. DS3sAY3a
Lineage: Eukaryota; Fungi; Ascomycota; Dothideomycetes; Pleosporales; Cucurbitariaceae
Rfam family: tRNA
About the family: Transfer RNA (tRNA) molecules are approximately 80 nucleotides in length. Their secondary structure includes four short double-helical elements and three loops (D, anti-codon, and T loops).
Source: Rfam